GUCCUAGCGGUAAACGUUGUGCACUAGGUGUGGGGCCCCGGACGAGGGGCUCCGUGCCGCAGCGAAAGCAUUAAGUGCACCACCUGGGGGAGUACGGCCGCAAGGCUGAAACUCAAAGGAAUUGACGGGGGCCCGCACAAGCGGUGGAGUAUGUGGUUUAAUUCGACGCAACGCGAAGAACCUUACCUGGGCUUGACAUGCUUAGGACCGGAGUGGAAACAUUCCUUUCCCGCAAGGGACCUUUGCACAGGUGCUGCAUGGCUGUCGU
This 268-nucleotide ribosomal RNA is filed under the name uncultured bacterium. Its description in RNAcentral is "partial 16S ribosomal RNA". It matches the Rfam family "Bacterial small subunit ribosomal RNA", at positions 793 to 1055 of the family's 1533-position model. The record is from RNAcentral.